UGCCCAGCAACUCCUGUCCCUACCUCCUCGCGGUACUGGCCGGGGUACGAGUAACCUUAGGGAAGAUCGGGUAACCUCUCGCCGUAUGCUGACAGGGAACG
Molecule: ribozyme, 101 nt
Filed under: Aedes aegypti (yellow fever mosquito)
Lineage: Eukaryota; Metazoa; Arthropoda; Insecta; Diptera; Culicidae
Description: drz-agam-1 ribozyme
Rfam family: drz-agam-1 ribozyme
Source: Rfam by way of RNAcentral